This 253-nucleotide ribosomal RNA is filed under the name uncultured bacterium. RNAcentral's name for it is "partial 16S ribosomal RNA". It matches the Rfam family "Bacterial small subunit ribosomal RNA", at positions 524 to 776 of the family's 1533-position model. The record is from RNAcentral.
UACGUAGGGGGCAAGCGUUGUCCGGAAUCAUUGGGCGUAAAGCGCGCGUAGGCGGCCCGGUAAGUCCGCUGUGAAAGUCCAGGGCUCAACCCUGGGAUGCCGGUGGAUACUGUCGGGCUCGAGUCCGGAAGAGGCGAGUGGAAUUCCUGGUGUAGCGGUGGAAUGCGUAGAGAUCCGGAGGAAGACCGGUGGCGAAGGCGGUCUGCUGGGCAGUUUCUGACACUGAGGCGCGAAAGCGUGGGGAGCAAACAGG